RNAcentral lists this ribosomal RNA (302 nucleotides) under uncultured bacterium. Its description in RNAcentral is "bacterial SSU rRNA". It matches the Rfam family "Bacterial small subunit ribosomal RNA", at positions 28 to 334 of the family's 1533-position model. The record is from RNAcentral.
GAUGAACGCUGGCGGCGUGCCUAAUACAUGCAAGUCGGACGCAAUGCUUCGGCAUUGAGUGGCGAACGGGUGAGUAAUACAUAAGCAACCUGCCCCUGUGAGGGGGAUAACUGCUGGAAACGGCAGCUAAGACCGCAUAGGCAUACAUGACGCAUGUCGAGUAUGUUAAAUAUCCCACGGGAUAGCACAGGGAUGGGCUUAUGACGCAUUAGCUAGCUGGUGAGGUAGAGGCUCACCAGGGCGACGAUGCGUAGCCGGACUGAGAGGUUGAACGGCCACAUUGGGACUGAGACACGGCCCAG